This is a small nucleolar RNA of Amphilophus citrinellus (Midas cichlid), 179 nucleotides long. Lineage: Eukaryota; Metazoa; Chordata; Actinopteri; Cichliformes; Cichlidae. The record is from Ensembl.
AUGCCCAGUGAUUAUAAAAAGACGCGUUAUUCUGAGGAAUCCAACCUGCUGCUAGUCUCUCUUUUUACUGUUGUCUCAUUCUUUAAUCUCCUCCAUCUUUUCUAUUCCUUCUUCACUUCGUCUCUUUUGUUCUAACUGGCAGCAGGUCCGCUGACUGCGAUUAUGAGAUAUGAGGGCAU